Vicia villosa (hairy vetch) is the source of this 1214-nucleotide long non-coding RNA. RefSeq lists it as uncharacterized. The transcript is spliced from 5 exons. The record is from RefSeq and is a predicted model, not a curated record. NCBI's taxonomy places the organism in Eukaryota, Viridiplantae, Streptophyta, Magnoliopsida, Fabales, Fabaceae.
UUUCCCUCCCUAUCCGAAAUUCAGAGCGCUAAAACAAAAAAAUUUCAUUCCUUUCUAAAAUCCAGAGCGCUAAAACAAAAAAAUUUCACUCCCUUUCCAAAAUCCAGAGCGCUAAAACAAAUAUUUUGGUUCCCUUUCUGAAUAUCAGAGCGUUGAAACUGAAAGUGAAAAUUCUUCUAUCCAGACUCAUCAAACCUUAACCCUAACGCUUUCUUUCCUUCCCCAUCGAUUCUUCCAAAGGUGUGAACGAUUCUUCUCCCGAACCCUAAUCCUUACCCUUUCUUCCCUUCUCUUUCUUCUCAAAUCCUUCAACUUGCAUACACAUAGUUAGGAUUUUAGGGUUUAUCAAGGGUUUCACGAAACUCAAGUACUUCACGAAAUUAUGUCAUUUAACGGUUUUAGGAAGUAUUUCAAUCAAAGGUUUGAAGUAAGUCUCUCACGAAGACAAUGAUUUCCCUGAGAGAUGCAAGGGUCAUAUCACACUGUGAGGAGGAGUUUUUCAUUUUCAAGUUGUAAAUAACUUUGCUCUGCCUUGCCGGAACUACUAGUAGCUGAGACAAUGUGUUGCCUGGUGGAACUACUCGCAGUUGAGACAGUGUGCGAGAGCUCAAUUCGUCCCGCAUGAAACACAUAGACUGGAACAACAGUGAACACAUAAUGGUGGAGCUUAGGCUAGUCGUGUCCGGUUUGAUCAAAUUUGAGAGCGAUAACACCUUCUUCCAUUCUGAGUGGAAGCCGUUGAAAGUGGUUUGCGAGCCUCUGAGAUUUGAAUAUGGUGUAUCAUUAGAUUAGAAGUGAAUAACAGUACCGGUAUCAAUACCUUCCGAAACCGUUUUAUCGUGGCCGUUGAAAAUACACUUGAUGCACGUUUGGAUGUAUUGUUCUGUAGCAAACUUCCAGCGGUCAACUUCAAUCAUCCAAAAGUUGGAUGUGAAUUUUGUGCACCGUGAACAUGGUCUUUCAAUUGAAAACAACAUCAAGGGUAUCCAAUUGAAAAGCACCAAAUUUCGAUCUACUGAGGAUGUUAGAAAGAGUACACGUCUUGAUUUUCAACUGGAGUUUAGUGAAACAAAUUCAUGUACAACUUUGAUUGUGAACCAUGAUUGACAUUUGGAAUAUAUAUAUAAUGAAUUAUAUUAUUAUAUUAUUUUGUUAUGUAAUUUUUUGAAAAUGAAAGGUCAUUUUAAAAUAAAGAAUUGUGAAUGAUGAUUGAU